This 471-nucleotide ribosomal RNA is filed under the name uncultured bacterium. Its description in RNAcentral is "bacterial SSU rRNA". It matches the Rfam family "Bacterial small subunit ribosomal RNA", at positions 28 to 523 of the family's 1533-position model. The record is from RNAcentral.
GACGAACGCUGGCGGCGUGCCUAACACAUGCAAGUCGAACGGGACCCGCAAGGGUUCAGUGGCGAACGGGUGCGUAACACGUGAAGAAUUUAUCCAACGGCGGGGGAUAGCCGGCCCAACGGCCGGGUAAUACCGCGUACGACCCUCGGGGGGCAUCCCCUGAAGGUGAAAGCCGCAAGGCGCCGAUGGAGAACUUCGCGGCCUAUCAGCUAGUUGGUGAGGUCAUGGCUCACCAAGGCGACGACGGGUAGCUGGUCCGAGAGGAUGACCAGCCACAUUGGGACUGAGACACGGCCCAGACUCCUACGGGAGGCAGCAGUGGGGAAUAUUGCGCAAUGGGCGAAAGCCUGACGCAGCGACGCCGCGUGUGGGAUGACGGCCUUCGGGUUGUAACCACUGUCGCGAGGGACGAAGCUCUGACGGUACCUCGAAAGGAAGCACCGGCUAACUCUGUGCCAGCCGCCGCGGUAA